Molecule: ribosomal RNA, 491 nt
Filed under: uncultured bacterium
Lineage: Bacteria
Description: partial 16S ribosomal RNA
Rfam family: Bacterial small subunit ribosomal RNA
Source: RNAcentral
AGUGAACGCUGGCGGUAGGCCUAACACAUGCAAGUCGAACGGCAGCACAGUAAGAGCUUGCUCUUACGGGUGGCGAGUGGCGGACGGGUGAGGAAUACAUCGGAAUCUACUUUUUCGUGGGGGAUAACGUAGGGAAACUUACGCUAAUACCGCAUACGACCUACGGGUGAAAGCAGGGGAUCUUCGGACCUUGCGCGAUUGAAUGAGCCGAUGUCGGAUUAGCUAGUUGGCGGGGUAAAGGCCCACCAAGGCGACGAUCCGUAGCUGGUCUGAGAGGAUGAUAGGCCACACUGGACCGGAGCCACGGUCCGGACUCCUACGGAAGGCAGCAGUGGGGAAUAUUGAAAAAUGGGCGAAAGCCUGUCCCACCCAUACCGGGUGGGUGAAGAAGGCUUUCGGGUUGUAAAGCCCUUUUUUUGGAAAGGAAAACAACAAGGUUAAAACCCGGCGGUCUUGACGGACCCAAAGGAUAAGCACCGGCUAACUUCGUG